GAUGAACGCUGGCGGCGUGCUUAACACAUGCAAGUCGAACGGAAAGGCCCAAGCUUGCUUGGGUACUCGAGUGGCGAACGGGUGAGUAACACGUGGGUGAUCUGCCCUGCACUUCGGGAUAAGCCUGGGAAACUGGGGCUAAUACCGGAUAGGACGAUGGUUUGGAUGCCAUUGUGGAAAGUUUUUUCGGUGUGGGAUGAGCUCGCGGCCUAUCAGCUUGUUGGUGGGGUAAUGGCCUACCAAGGCGUCGAGGGGUAGCCGGCCUGAGAGGGUGUACGGCCACAUUGGGACUGAGAUACGGCCCAGGCUCCGACGGGAGGGAGCAGUGGGGAAGAUUGCACAAUGGGCGCAAGCCUGAUGCAGCGACGCCGCGUGGGGGAUGACGGCCUUCGGGUUGUAGACUCCUUUCGCUAGGGACGAAGCGUUUUUGUGACGGUACCUGGAGAAGAAGCACCGGCUAACUACGUG
RNAcentral lists this ribosomal RNA (468 nucleotides) under uncultured bacterium. RNAcentral describes it as "partial 16S ribosomal RNA". It matches the Rfam family "Bacterial small subunit ribosomal RNA", at positions 28 to 507 of the family's 1533-position model. The record is from RNAcentral.